Salmo salar (Atlantic salmon) is the source of this 3909-nucleotide non-coding RNA. NCBI's taxonomy places the organism in Eukaryota, Metazoa, Chordata, Actinopteri, Salmoniformes, Salmonidae. The record is from RefSeq and is a predicted model, not a curated record.
CGAGUUGAAAUAGUCUAGAACCGCCACUGGCUCUGAAGCGAGGUGUUCCCGCAUCAGCCUGUCGAAAGAAACUCAUGCAGAGAUUCUAUAAUUCUGAUUAUAUGAAGAGAGAGGGUCGGAUGAACCCACGAUCGAAUCCACUGUUACCGAAGAUAUAGCGGGCGAGCGAGGGUCCAGGCGUGCGUGCGCCAGUCUUGCCUAGCGCAAGGCUACGUUGCGACACAAGAAAAUAGCUGGGGGGAUGCACGAAGACAGCACGAAUACAGCGGUAGCAUGACGCGGGACUGAAUCGAUAUAUUUCCCCGUGAAAAACCAGUCAUACAUUGGGACGGAUAUCAUUUGAGUGUAAAGGGCGUCGAAUAGCCUAGAUCAUUUAUUAUGGAGAAGAUGAGCGUAAACCAGACUGGAUAUGAUGGUAUUUGUAGAGUGGAUGGUGGAACGGUGACGGGCGGCCUCAACGUCAGUGGUGCCCCGAAGCUGCUACAGUAUGCUCAGCCUCCCGCUAAUAGACCAAGGGAUGCCCGGCACCAGCAACAUAGCGGCCGGCAGCACCAGCACGGCGGUGUACCUGUCAAACCGCCUUAUUCCGAACGGUCCGAACCCGCGGACGUUGUGAAGCGCGCCAUCGAUUUCAAGACUCAAGGCACACAGUGUUACAAGGAUAAGAAGUACCGGGAAGCGAUUGGCAAGUACCACCGCGCUUUAUUAGAGAUGAAGGGGUUGUGCCGGGUGCUGGGAGACCCUGAUGCCAGCUCUAAGUCUCCUUCCUCUGUGCUGCCUACUAUAACCAAGCCAGACAGCCUGACAGACGAGCAGAAAGGUGCCAUGGAGAACGCCGAGCUGGAAUGUUACAACAGUCUGGCAGCGUGCCUGUUGCACAUGGAGCUGGUUAACUAUGAGCGUGUGAAGGACUAUUGUCUGAAGGUGCUGCGUAAGGAAGGGGACCACUUCAAGGCUCUGUAUCGCUCUGGGGUGGCCUACUAUCACCUAGGAGACUUCCACAAGGCUCUACACUACCUCAAGGAGUCCCACAAACAGCAGCCAGCGGACACCAACGUUCUCCGUUACAUCCAGCUGACUGAGAUGAAGAUCCGUCGUUCUGCCCAGAAGGAGAAGAAAGAGACCACAUAAAACAACCAACCAACUCACUUCCUGUUUUAAUAACUAACUCACUUCUCACUUCACGUAAAAUGUGUACUUUCUUCAUGUGCCAGCCAGACCUAGUACACCACGAGUCUUGUGCCGGGAUUCAAUCCCGAAACCGCGCUUGACAUUUAUUGGUAAUUUCCAAUUGAGCCGAUAUCUGCAGUGCUUACCUUGAAUACAAUAUCUGUAAAUGCGGUAACAUUACCUUUUAAAAGCUGCAUUGUACAAGCGUGCUUGGAUUGAAUCCUGGCCUUGGUGUUUUAAAGGAUAUUUACAGAUAUGCACAGCCACUUUUAUUCAUCUUCUUAUUCUUCCUGCCAAUUACUCCGUAAAUUACUUCGAUCGCUCUGGAUAAGAGCGUCUGCUAAAUGACUAAAAUGUAAAUGUAAAAUGAUGUGAUUCAUACCAAUUGGUGUAUUUUACAGUUUAUACAACUGAAACGGUGCAGCUGCCGUUUGGUGAUGGUCAAUAUCUCCAAAGUUUAUGUCUGUUACUUAGUUGGUCAACAUGGAGUCAGAUGGAUAAUGCACAGCACUGCCAGUCAAAACAUUGCACAAAGUGUAAAUAAGGCCAACAACACUUCUGAUGGUGACAUAGUAACAGAAAACACUGAAUGAAGCAUUUGGCUGUAAGUGACUACUGUGACUGGAUAAAUUAGGCUAGCACCUGCCCUCCCUCCUUCACACAAGAUGUGUUUCUAACACCUGGGGCCCCGUUUAUACCCGGUUCUACCAUGUGUUCUUUGUCCAGAUCUUGUCCACAUUCCGAUGUUGCCCACAUUUUUAGACAGGUGUAGACAAUUAAAAGCCCAUUGUUAUUGUGAUUAGAUCUUCUCCGGAGGUAGCCCGGGUCGUGUCUACACUUGAUACUUACAUGCGACUUCUGCUAUCAGAAUACGAAGCUCUCAUUGAAAAGACGGGUCUAGACGCACCAAAGUCGCUUUGUGGCCUGAUUGUGUUCGGAUCUGGUUGACUACUUCAGGAUUGUGUUCAGAUCUGGUUGACUACUUCAGGAUUGUGUUCAGAUCUGGUUGACUACUUCAGGAUUGUGUUCAGAUCUGGUUGACUACUUCGGUAUUGUGUUCGGAUUUCUCCUCAGUCUGGACGUUAACAGAAACGCGUACAGUGGUCGACGUCAUCAGCACUCCUCCCACAAGUCUCCAGAAAACGUGUUUUGGGAACGAGAGGUUUUCCUUUUCAUUAUAACGUCGGAGGAAAUACGUUUCUAGCGUGUGAGGAACGUGUUUGCUGGACUCAUAAAUGCUAGCGAGUUAGCUAAUAUUUGUUAAACAUUAUUUAUUUUUUUGGGGGGGGCUAAAGUUAUACGAACCCUUUUACAAUCCCUUUCAGCGUUGCUUACGAGAUCGCUGGCUAACUACAGAGGUUUAGCUGGCUAGUUAGCUACUACAGUAUCAUAUUUUGCCUAUUCCACCGUUUGGAGAAUUUGAAUAUAGCGCAGGAAAAGGGAAUCAGGACACACUGUGGACACGGUAGACAUUUAAAUUUACAGUCUUUUCCCAUCACUGCAACUCCUGUACGGACUCGGGAGAGGUCGAAGGUUGAGAGCCAUGCAUCCUCCGGAAACACAACCCUGCCAAGCCACACUGUUUCUUGACACACUGCCCAUUUAACCCGGAAGCCAACCCGCACCAAUGUGUCGGAGCAAACACCGUACACCUGGUGAACGUGUCAGCGUGCAAUGGGACAAGGACAUCCCGGGCCAGCCAAGCCCUCCCCUAACCCGGACGACGCUGGGCCAACUGUGCACCGCCCUAUGGGACUCCCGGUCACGGUCGGCUUUCGACACAGCCUGGGAUCGAACCCGGGUCUGUAGUGACGCCCCUAGCACUGCGAUGCAGUGCCUUAGACCGCUGUGCCACUCGGGAGCCCCGAGGUAUAAACGAGGCUAAGGAAUCACUUUUUUUCCCAACCUCCCACUGUUAGAAACUGAACUAACACUUGUUUUUGUUUUUAUAUUUAUAGAUGAUUUAGAUUUUAAAAUCUUUGGCAAGUCACGUUAAUACAUGGGUAUUACCAUUACCUAUAAUAGAUAUGUAAAGACUAUAUUUAGAGAUUGAAUUUAACCGUGUUUACAUUGUAAGGGCACAUAUUUGCUCAUUGUCAUGACACUUUAAAAAGAAGCAUGUCGCAAAAUAUGAAAAAAGGCUAGCUUACUUUAUAAAAUAAAAUGCUUUCUGUAUUUGUUUUAAUUGUAUAAUAGCAAAGCGAAUUGUGUUUUUUGUUUGUUUGUAAAUGCAAGCAGGGAAAUUCAUUGUACAAGAGUAUCUUUAAGAAAACACAACUGUUACAUUAUAAAGGUGUUCGACUUAUAUUCUCGAUUACAGUCAUUGUUUUUGUAUUGCACAUGCUUUAGUAUCAUCAAAUUAGGCUCUAAAACUAUUAAAAGCACAUGCCAACCAAUCACAUUAAUACCAUGGCUCUCUAUAAAGAGAGGUUGCAAAAUAAAACAAAUUAAAAAACGUAGAAUUCUCAAAUUACUUCAAUCGUUCAACAGAACACAUUCAAAUAGAAACAUUGUCUGUUAUGGUAAUAUCUCUUACUUAACUGAACGAGAAGAGAAGCGCAUAGCUGAGUGAGAGGAUGACUCCACACAUACCUUCUCCUCUUGGUAGUUCUCAUGGUGAGACAGAUUAUAAUGAGCCUGCCUUGUCAUUGAACUGCCUGGUUAUUGAACUGAAUGGUUUAGCAGUGUCUGAAAUGGUGCCAUAUGCCAAAAGUGCACUACUUUAGACCAGGGCCCAUA